AUCACUUCUUCCACCAAAAAUCAGAAACGUUUUCUCUCUUAUGCUCUCUAGUCCGUGUGAGUGCCAAGCCGCAAAGAAGCAAGCAUGCAACCAUAAGAGCUUCCUCAACGCUGCCUAGGUCCCUUCCUACACUGGUUCAUCAUCACUUUGAAGCUUCAAGGCCAAGAAGACUCUCAAAAGUGAGCACCAUAAAGUAUCUGGAUUGAUCGAACCUUAUUUGCCUUAUACUACGAUUGUCAAAAAGGGUUCUUAAUUGUCGUGCCCCAGUUUCGGUGUCCGCCAAUUUUAGCGUCGUUGCCGGGGGACUUUAAAAGUCUCCUACGGUUCUUUUAGUUGUAAAUAUUUAACUUUACUAAAAUAACUUUUACUAACGAUUGUUUGUUUUAUUUCUUUUCAAGUUUGUGUCUCACUUGGUAAAUCGUUGGAUCAAAGAGGCCGCAAAAAUUGAUUUAGGCUUUAACCCUUCGUUAGCACCUUACUAAACGGUCUCUCGAGGUAGAGGGCGGCCCUUAUCUAGCUCUUGUAGGACAUCAAAGAUAUGAGUUGUUCCUAGCUAAGUAAGGGGCACUUUGGGUGGUGUCUAGGCUCGAGUAAGCGCCUGAGACCAAAAUUGGGCUUCAAAGGGCCAUAGACUGUGCGCGAGCACAAUAGGGGUUUCGACCUCCGUGGCUCAUUUAAACGAAGUCCUACCAGCACCGCUUCACUUCGACCUGGCCAUCCAAGCCUUCUGAAACCAUGGAAUUA
Molecule: RNA transcript, 744 nt
Organism: Fragaria vesca subsp. vesca
Lineage: Eukaryota; Viridiplantae; Streptophyta; Magnoliopsida; Rosales; Rosaceae
Exons: 2
Source: RefSeq, a predicted model, not a curated record